This is a long non-coding RNA of Apis dorsata (giant honeybee), 632 nucleotides long. RefSeq lists it as uncharacterized. NCBI's taxonomy places the organism in Eukaryota, Metazoa, Arthropoda, Insecta, Hymenoptera, Apidae. The transcript is spliced from 2 exons. The record is from RefSeq and is a predicted model, not a curated record.
CUUAACAAUUUAACUUAUUAACAAUUUUAUUCUAAUUUUUGAAGAAACGUAACGAAUAUCUUAAAAUUUUUGAACGGUGCUGUGUAUAGAUCUAGCGGAUUUUUCAGUAUAUAUGCAUAUAGAAUAGAGAAUCAAAGUGAAUAUAUUCGAUGUUGUAAAUAUAUCCGCGCAACUUGGCGGAAAAUUUAACCGCCACGUCAUUCAAAGUUGCAUUCCGAGAAAACUCGCGCGAGCGCGGCAAAGAGGGAGUGCGACGAACACUGUAAAAACGUCGCGUUGCGGCUCGUGAAAAAGGGUGGUCAAGGGGGAUGUGGGGAAAGAAAUUACAUAAGAUGCGCGUUGGGACGACGAGAAUUGCAGCAUGUCUUUUUGGCAGGAAGAAACGUUUUCAUUCCGUCUAAUGAGCACGUUCGUCUUUUAUAUGUUAUCGAUGAGUUUUUCCUAUGCAGGAGCGUACAUAAAUUUAUUAAAUGAUCCAAACGGUGAAAUUAACAACUGUUUGGAAGAGCGGAAAGAGGAAGGCAAUGCAUCGUCACGUAAUGCAAGCAUUAUGCAAUCUCGACCACUUAACAACAGCUGAUCACAUUUUUAGCUUGCAUAAUUUUUCACAGCUACCAUGUAUAAAGAAUAAG